CCUACGGGUGACAGCAGUGAGGAAUAUUGGUCAAUGGGCGGAAGCCUGCACCAGCCACGUCGCGUGAGGGAUUAAGGCCCUGCGGGUCGUAAACCUCUUUUGCCGGGGCGCAGUGGUCCGGACGCGUCCGGACAGGGAGCGUACCCGGAGAAAAAGCAUCGGCUAACUCCGUGCCAGCCGCCGCAGUAAUACGGAGGAUCCGAGGGUUAUCCGGAGUUAUUGGGUUUAAAGGGUGCGUAGGCGGCCUUUUAAGUCAGCGGUGAAAGUCGGUGGCUCAACCAUAGAAUUGCCGUUGAAACUGGUAGGCUUGAGUAUGGGUGAGGCAGGCGGAAUGCGUGGUGUAGCGGUGAAAUGCUUAGAUAUCACGCAGAACCCCGAUUGCGAAGGCAGCCUGCCAAGCCAUGACUGACGCUGAUGCACGAAAGCGUGGGGAGCAAACAGGAUUAGAUACCCCUGUAGUC
RNAcentral lists this ribosomal RNA (461 nucleotides) under uncultured bacterium. RNAcentral's name for it is "partial 16S ribosomal RNA". It matches the Rfam family "Bacterial small subunit ribosomal RNA", at positions 338 to 795 of the family's 1533-position model. The record is from RNAcentral.